CGAAUCCCCCAGCCGUCCGGGUCCGGUCGCCCUCGUUCCCCGCCGGGUAAUGGGCGCUAGAGGCCGCGAUUCCCAAAACCAACCCAGUUCCUCCCGAACGGCCCCUGCGGGAGGUUUCUGUAUCCUUCUCGUUUGCAUGGAAUGUUCGUACCUACAAUCAAAGAAUUGUUAUGGGAAUUACCCAAGAUGAUCCACAAAAUGCUCCUAGCACCAAACUGGAGCAUAAAGGAAGUACUCAGUUAAUACUAAGCCAUCAUCAUCUAAAUAUAUAAGCUUCUUGGAGUGAGGAUCACGUGUUCUGUUUCUUUUCCAGAGUUCACAGAGCCUAACCCAACGCUGUAUGCAACCUUUAAUAAAAGUCAAG
Long non-coding RNA from Cervus elaphus (red deer), 364 nucleotides. RefSeq lists it as uncharacterized. The record is from RefSeq and is a predicted model, not a curated record. The transcript has 3 exons. Lineage: Eukaryota; Metazoa; Chordata; Mammalia; Artiodactyla; Cervidae.